Molecule: ribosomal RNA, 376 nt
Filed under: uncultured bacterium
Lineage: Bacteria
Description: bacterial SSU rRNA
Rfam family: Bacterial small subunit ribosomal RNA
Source: RNAcentral
GACAGAGGGUGCAAACGUUGUUCGGAAUUACUGGGCGUAAAGCGCGUGUAGGCUGCUUGGAAAGUCGGAUGUGAAAGCCCUGGGCUCAACCUAGGAAGUGCAUUCGAAACUUCCAAGCUCGAGUUUCGGAGAGGAAGGCGGAAUUCUCGGUGUAGAGGUGAAAUUCGUAGAUAUCGAGAGGAACAUCGGUGGCGAAGGCGGCCUUCUGGACGAUGACUGACGCUGAGACGCGAAAGCGUGGGGAGCAAACAGGAUUAGAUACCCUGGUAGUCCACGCCGUAAACGAUGGGUGCUAGGUGUCGCGGGCUUUGACCCCUGCGGUGCCGUAGCUAACGCAUUAAGCACCCCGCCUGGGGAGUACGGCCGCAAGGCUAAA